This 649-nucleotide ribosomal RNA is filed under the name Cryptococcus sp. BI195. Its description in RNAcentral is "eukaryotic LSU rRNA". It matches the Rfam family "Eukaryotic large subunit ribosomal RNA", at positions 1 to 662 of the family's 3401-position model. Lineage: Eukaryota; Fungi; Basidiomycota; Tremellomycetes; Tremellales; Cryptococcaceae. The record is from RNAcentral.
AUAAGGGCCGGGAGGGGGAAAAAAAAGCGGAGGAAAAGAAACUAACUAGGAUUCCCUUAGUAACGGCGAGUGAACCGGGAUGAGCUCAAAUUUAAAAUCUGGCGUCUUUCAGGCGUCCGAGUUGUAAUCUACAGAGGCGUUUUCCGCGCCGGACCGCGUCCAAGUCCCUUGGAAUAGGGUAUCAAAGAGGGUGACAAUCCCGUACUUGACGCGACGACCGGUGCUCUGUGAUACGUUCUCAAUGAGUCGAGUUGUUUGGGAAUGCAGCUCUAAAUGGGUGGUAAAUUCCAUCUAAGGCUAAAUAUUGGCGAGAGACCGAUAGCGAACAAGUACCGUGAGGGAAAGAUGAAAAGCACUUUGGAAAGAGAGUUAAACAGCACGUGAAAUUGUUAAAAGGGAAGCGAUUGAAGUCAGUCGUGUGGGAGGUAUUCAGCCGUCUCUGGCGGUGUAUUUGCCUCUCACGGGUCAACAUCAGUUUGAUCCGGCAGAAAAAGGCGGGAGGAAGGUGGCACCCUCGGGUGUGUUAUAGCCUCCUGUCAUAUAUGCCGGACCAGACUGAGGAACGCAGCUCGCAGCAAUGCCGGGGUUCGCCCAGUACGAGCUUAGGAUGUUGACAUAAUGGCUUUAAACGACCGUCUUGAAACAACAC